This is a non-coding RNA of Anas platyrhynchos (mallard), 737 nucleotides long. Lineage: Eukaryota; Metazoa; Chordata; Aves; Anseriformes; Anatidae. The record is from RefSeq and is a predicted model, not a curated record.
GCAAAAAUAUGCUCUUGUAGGAAGGGCAACCAACAGCAUCAUGGGCUGCAUUAGGCAGAGCAUUGCCAGAAGGUCAUGGAAGACUGUCAUUUUGAAAAAAAUCCAUCUGGGAAUGAAAAAUGUCAAGAUUUAAUAACCUUUGAAACACCUAAUGUAGACAUCGAAGUCACGCACACGAUGAAGCAUGUAUGUGUUCAGGCAUCCUGAUGCCGGACGUGCUGGCAGAAAUGUCCUGGAACCACCUUCCUCGUAAUUCCUGCUUUUAGCUCACUUGCAAAGCUAAUUGGAUAGAGUUUCUCAGUAGUGAUGUCAAUGCUACCCAUCUGAGGUUUUUCAUCAGUGGUCAACAACCAACAUACAGCACUAACGACAAGCAGUGACACCAAUAAUCCUACCCUGGGGAAAACAAACAAACAAGCCACAUGAAUACCUGCUCUCCUAUGGGUGAAUCUACUCCAAACCAACAAGCCAUGCCUGGGCAUGGGGACUGUCAGAUUGGAGGAAUCUGCCCAUUGACAUGGCAUGUGCUAUCUCCAGUCACAUAUAUGCAAAGGGUGACUUGAUGAAUAUCUACUUAAGAAUAACUGGAUUUGGAAUUAUAAGGAAAUUUGGAAAUGCAGUGCUUGAUAUGUCGGUGUGAACUGAAGGAUGGCUCCACUGUAUUUGGAUUCUUUCUUAUUAAAAAUAAAGGAUAUUGCUGUGUGUUUUCUGUCAUUCUAAACGUUUCUAAGCAAAAA